This 346-nucleotide ribosomal RNA is filed under the name uncultured bacterium. RNAcentral's name for it is "partial 16S ribosomal RNA". It matches the Rfam family "Bacterial small subunit ribosomal RNA", at positions 338 to 681 of the family's 1533-position model. The record is from RNAcentral.
CCUACGGGUGGCAGCAGUGAGGAAUAUUGGUCAAUGGGCGCGAGCCUGAACCAGCCAAGUAGCGUGAAGGAUGACGGCCCUACGGGUUGUAAACUUCUGUUAUAAAGGAAUAAAGUGAGGCACGUGGGCCGUUUUGUAUGUACUUUAUGAAUAAGGAUCGGCUAACUCCGUGCCAGCAGCCGCGGUAAUACGGAGGAUCCGAGCGUUAUCCGGAGUUAUUGGGUUUAAAGGGAGCGUAGAUGGGUUGGUAAGUCAGUUGUGAAAGUUUGCGGCUCCACCGGAAAAUUGCAAUUGUUACUGGCAGUCUUGAGUACAGUUGCGGUCGGCGGAAUUCGUGGUGUAGCGG